AGGAGCGAAAGGGUGGGGAGCAAACAGGCUUAGAUACCCUGGUAGUCCACCCCGUAAACGUUGGGAACUAGUUGUGGGGGCCUUUCCACGGUCUCCGUGACGCAGCUAACGCAUUAAGUUCCCCGCCUGGGGAGUACGGCCGCAAGGCUAAAACUCAAAGGAAUUGACGGGGACCCGCACAAGCGGCGGAGCAUGCGGAUUAAUUCGAUGCAACGCGAAGAACCUUACCAAGGCUUGACAUACACCGGAAACGUCCAGAGAUGGUCGCCCCUUUUUGGUCGGUGUACAGGUGGUGCAUGGUUGUCGUCAGCUCGUGUCGUGAGAUGUUGGGUUAAGUCCCGCAACGAGCGCAACCCUCGUUCUAUGUUGCCAGCACGUUAUGGUGGGAACUCAUGGGAUACUGCCGGGGUCAACUCGGAGGAAGGUGGGGAUGACGUCAAAUCAUCAUGCCCCUUAUGUCUUGGGCUUCACGCAUGCUACAAUGGCCGGUACAAUGGGCUGCGAUACCGUGAGGUGGAGCGAAUCCCAAAAAGCCGGUCCCAGUUCGGAUCGUAGUCUGCAACUCGACUACGUGAAGUCGGAGUCGCUAGUAAUCGCAGAUCAGCAACGCUGCGGUGAAUACGUUCCCGGGUCUUGUACACAC
RNAcentral lists this ribosomal RNA (643 nucleotides) under uncultured bacterium. RNAcentral's name for it is "bacterial SSU rRNA". It matches the Rfam family "Bacterial small subunit ribosomal RNA", at positions 749 to 1390 of the family's 1533-position model. The record is from RNAcentral.